UCCUGGUUAACCCAGGCAGUCUCGUAUGAGAAAUACAACAUACGACGAGGGUUGCGUUCGUUGCGGGACUUAACCCAACAUCUCACGACACGAACUGACGACGACCAUGCAACACCUGUCACCGGUCCAGCAGACUGACCACCCUGUUUCCAGGGCGUACGACCGGGAUGUCAAGACUUGGAUAAGGUUCUUCGCUUAGCGUCGAAUUAAACCACACGCUCCACCGCUUGUGCGGGUCCCCGUCAAUUCCUUUGAGUUUUAAGCUUGCGCUCGUACUCCCCAGGCGGGGUGCUUAACGCGUUAGCUUCGAUACCCGGGGGAUCUAUGCCCCAGAUACCUAGCACCCAUCGUUUACGGCGUGGACUAC
RNAcentral lists this unclassified non-coding RNA (367 nucleotides) under uncultured bacterium. Its description in RNAcentral is "contains 16S-23S intergenic spacer region". The record is from RNAcentral.